AACGCGAAGAACCUUACCUGGGCUAGACAACAGUGGACCGCCAUAGAGAUAUGGCUUUCCCUUCGGGGACCGCUGGUUCAGGUGCUGCAUGGCUGUCGUCAGCUCGUGUCGUGAGAUGUUGGGUUAAGUCCCGCAACGAGCGCAACCCUUAUCCCUAGUUGCCAUCGGGUCAAGCCGGGCACUCUAGUGAAACUGCCUCGGAUAACGAGGAGGAAGGUGGGGAUGACGUCAAGUCCUCAUGGCCUUUAUGUCCAGGGCUACACACGUGCUACAAUGGUCGGUACAAACCGUCGCAAACCCGUGAGGGGGAGCUAAUCGGAAAAAGCCGGCCUCAGUUCGGAUUGGAGUCUGCAACUCGACUCCAUGAAGCUGGAAUCGCUAGUAAUCGCGGAUCAGAACGCCGCGGUGAAUACGUUCCCGGGCCUUGUACACACCGGUACUA
RNAcentral lists this ribosomal RNA (442 nucleotides) under uncultured bacterium. RNAcentral's name for it is "bacterial SSU rRNA". It matches the Rfam family "Bacterial small subunit ribosomal RNA", at positions 958 to 1398 of the family's 1533-position model. The record is from RNAcentral.